Molecule: ribosomal RNA, 265 nt
Filed under: uncultured bacterium
Lineage: Bacteria
Description: partial 16S ribosomal RNA
Rfam family: Bacterial small subunit ribosomal RNA
Source: RNAcentral
ACAAUGGCAGGUACAGCGGGAUGCCAUGGGGCGACCCAGAGCGGAACCCGAAAACCUGUCUCAGUUCGGAUUGGAGUCUGCAACCCGACUCCAUGAAGCUGGAUUCGCUAGUAAUCGCGCAUCAGCCACGGCGCGGUGAAUACGUUCCCGGGCCUUGUACACACCGCCCGUCAAGCCAUGGGAGCCGGGGGUGCCUGAAGGCCGUGACCGCGAGGAGCGGCCUAGGGUAAAACUGGUGACUGGGGCUAAGUCGUAACAAGGUAAC